RNAcentral lists this ribosomal RNA (253 nucleotides) under uncultured bacterium. RNAcentral describes it as "partial 16S ribosomal RNA". It matches the Rfam family "Bacterial small subunit ribosomal RNA", at positions 524 to 776 of the family's 1533-position model. The record is from RNAcentral.
UACGUAGGGCGCAAGCGUUGUCCGGAAUUAUUGGGCGUAAAGAGCUCGUAGGCGGUCUGUUGCGUCCGCUGUGAAAACUCGGGGCUUAACCCCGAGCCUGCAGUGGAUACGGGCAGACUAGAGGUAGGUAGGGGAGAAUGGAAUUCCCUGUGUAGCGGUGAAAUGCGCAGAUAUCGGGAGGAACACCGGUGGCGAAGGCGGUUCUCUGGGCCGAUACUGACGCUGAGGAGCGAAAGCGUGGGGAGCGAACAGG